UUCUUAUCGAGAGCGGCGGAGGGACAGGCCCGAUGAAGCCCGGCAACCGAUUUAUAACUGCAUGACAGCUGUGUCAUUCUUUAUAGAUGUUAGGUGCUAAUUCCUACAAAAUGUGUGCAAGGCACAAUUUUGGCAGAUGAGAA
RNAcentral lists this non-coding RNA (143 nucleotides) under Paenibacillus sp. RNAcentral describes it as "SAM-I sequence". It matches the Rfam family "SAM riboswitch aptamer (S box leader)". Rfam says of the family: The SAM riboswitch is found upstream of a number of genes which code for proteins involved in methionine or cysteine biosynthesis in Gram-positive bacteria. The record is from RNAcentral. Lineage: Bacteria; Bacillati; Bacillota; Bacilli; Caryophanales; Paenibacillaceae.